This 253-nucleotide ribosomal RNA is filed under the name uncultured bacterium. Its description in RNAcentral is "partial 16S ribosomal RNA". It matches the Rfam family "Bacterial small subunit ribosomal RNA", at positions 524 to 776 of the family's 1533-position model. The record is from RNAcentral.
UACGUAGGGCGCAAGCGUUGUCCGGAAUUAUUGGGCGUAAAGAGCUCGUAGGCGGUUUGUCGCGUCUGCCGUGAAAGCCCGGGGCUUAACUCCGGGUCUGCGGUGGAUACGGGCAGACUAGAGGCAGGUAGGGGAGAACGGAAUUCCCGGUGUAGCGGUGAAAUGCGCAGAUAUCGGGAGGAACACCAGUGGCGAAGGCGGCUACCUGGACCGGUUCUGACACUGAGGAGCGAAAGCGUGAGGAGCGAUCCGG